RNAcentral lists this ribosomal RNA (469 nucleotides) under uncultured bacterium. RNAcentral's name for it is "bacterial SSU rRNA". It matches the Rfam family "Bacterial small subunit ribosomal RNA", at positions 335 to 795 of the family's 1533-position model. The record is from RNAcentral.
ACUCCUACGGGAGGCAGCAGUGGGGAAUUUUGCGCAAUGGACGAAAGUCUGACGCAGCGACGCCGCGUGAGGGAUGAAGGUCUUCGUGAUCGUAAACCUCUGUCGGGAAGGAUUAAUGUAUUUUGGUUAAUACCCAAGGUGCUUGACUUAACUUCCAAAGGAAGCCCCGGCUAACUACGUGCCAGCAGCCGCGGUAAUACGUAGGGGGCAAGCGCUACUCGGAUUUACUGGGCGUAAAGCGAGCGUAGGCGGUCUGAUAAGUCAGGGGUGAAAUCCCUCAGCUCAACUGAGGAACUGCCCUUGAUACUGUUAGACUAGAGGACAGGAGAGGAAAGUGGAAUUCCCGGUGUAGCGGUGGAAUGCGUAGAUAUCGGGAGGAACACCAGAGGCGAAGGCGACUUUCUGGACUGAUCCUGACGCUGAGGUUCGAAAGCUAGGGGAGCAAACAGGAUUAGAUACCCUGGUAGUC